UACGUAGGGUGCAAGCGUUGUCCGGAAUUAUUGGGCGUAAAGAGCUCGUAGGCGGUCUGUCGCGUCGGCUGUGAAAUCCCGAGGCUCAACCUCGGGUCUGCAGUCGAUACGAGCAAACUAGAGUGUUGCAGGGGAGACUGGAAUUCCUGGUGUAGCGGUGAAAUGCGCAGAUAUCAGGAGGAACACCGGUGGCGAAGGCGGGUCUCUGGGCAACAACUGACGCUGAGGAGCGAAAGCGUGGGGAGCGAACAGG
This 253-nucleotide ribosomal RNA is filed under the name uncultured bacterium. Its description in RNAcentral is "partial 16S ribosomal RNA". It matches the Rfam family "Bacterial small subunit ribosomal RNA", at positions 524 to 776 of the family's 1533-position model. The record is from RNAcentral.